GACGAACGCUGGCGGCGUGCUUAACACAUGCAAGUCGAACGGAAAGGCCCUGCUUUUGUGGGGUGCUCGAGUGGCGAACGGGUGAGUAACACGUGAGUAACCUGCCCUUGACUUUGGGAUCACUUCAGGAAACUGGGGCUAAUACCGGAUAGGAGCUCCUGCUGCAUGGUGGGGGUUGGAAAGUUUCGGCGGUUGGGGAUGGACUCGCGGCUUAUCAGCUUGUUGGUGGGGUAGUGGCUUACCAAGGCUUUGACGGGUAGCCGGCCUGAGAGGGUGACCGGCCACAUUGGGACUGAGAUACGGCCCAGACUCCUACGGGAGGCAGCAGUGGGGAAUAUUGCACAAUGGGCGGAAGCCUGAUGCAGCAACGCCGCGUGCGGGAUGACGGCCUUCGGGUUGUAAACCGCUUUCGCCUGUGACGAAGCGUGAGUGACGGUAAUGGGUAGAGAAGCACCGGCUAACUACGUG
Molecule: ribosomal RNA, 468 nt
Filed under: uncultured bacterium
Lineage: Bacteria
Description: partial 16S ribosomal RNA
Rfam family: Bacterial small subunit ribosomal RNA
Source: RNAcentral